RNAcentral lists this ribosomal RNA (370 nucleotides) under uncultured organism. RNAcentral's name for it is "bacterial SSU rRNA". It matches the Rfam family "Bacterial small subunit ribosomal RNA", at positions 526 to 896 of the family's 1533-position model. The record is from RNAcentral.
CGUAGGGUGCGAGCGUUAAUCGGAAUUACUGGGCGUAAAGCGUGCGCAGGCGGUUAUGUAAGACAGUUGUGAAAUCCCCGGGCUCAACCUGGGAAUUGCAUCUGUGACUGCAUAGCUAGAGUACGGUAGAGGGGGAUGGAAUCCCGCGUGUAGCAGUGAAAUGCGUAGAUAUGCGGAGGAACACCGAUGGCGAAGGCAAUCCCCUGGACCUGUACUGACGCUCAUGCACGAAAGCGUGGGGAGCAAACAGGAUUAGAUACCCUGGUAGUCCACGCCCUAAACGAUGUCAACUGGUUGUUGGGUGCAUUAGUACUCAGUAACGAAGCUAACGCGUGAAGUUGACCGCCUGGGGAGUACGGCCGCAAGGUUG